GAUGAACGCUAGCGGCAGGCCUAACACAUGCAAGUCGAGGGGUAGCAGGAUUAAGCUUGCUUAAUUGCUGACGACCGGCGCACGGGUGCGUAACGCGUAUGCAACCUACCUUAUACUGGGGUAUAGCCCGGAGAAAUUCGGAUUAAUCCCCCAUAGUACUAAUGAAUCGCAUGGUUUAUUAGUUAAAGCAUUGCGGUAUAAGAUGGGCAUGCGUCCUAUUAGCUGGAUGGUGAGGUAACGGCUCACCAUGGCUACGAUAGGUAGGGGGCCUGAGAGGGUGGUCCCCCACACGGGUACUGGGACACGGACCAGACUCCUACGGGAGGCAGCAGUGAGGAAUAUUGGUCAAUGGGCGCAAGCCUGAGCCAGCCAUGCCGCGUGCAGGAAGAAUGCCCUAUGGGUUGUAAACUGCUUUUAUUUGGGAAUAAACCUCUUUACGUGUAGAGAGCUGAAGGUACCAAAUGAAUAAGCACCGGCUAACUCCGUGCCAGCCGCCGCGGUAA
RNAcentral lists this ribosomal RNA (503 nucleotides) under uncultured bacterium. RNAcentral describes it as "partial 16S ribosomal RNA". It matches the Rfam family "Bacterial small subunit ribosomal RNA", at positions 28 to 523 of the family's 1533-position model. The record is from RNAcentral.